UAACCAGGCCCAUCCCCAACCCGGACUCCCCCCAACCCACCGGCUCUCUCUUCCCCGAUAGCUUGCCAUCAGAUCUGCAAUGUUUUGCUGAGUUCCUUGCUCAUCCAUCCUCAUCCAAUCUCCUGUAGCCAUCAGUUCCUCGUUGGUUCCUUCUCCGUCCAUCUGCCGGAGAGCCGCACUCUCCCGUCCAUCCUCGUCCAUGAAUUUGUCGCCUGUGCCUGCUCCGUCCAGUCUCCGGUAGCUAGCAGUUCAUCUCUCUUACCUAAUGCAUGCUUAUUCCCCUUUGACUGCCGCCAUCGAUCUCCAACCAAUCUACCGUCAUCCGAAACAUAGUUUCUCAAGCUUUAUCAAUCGGUCCUAAUUGUAUCCCCUGGGGAUUCACUGCGAAUCUGAUUCGGCACCGCGUUAAAAAUGGAUGAUUUUCUGGAGAUAGACUAUGUGCCCCAGCCAGGAUAUUUUCUGGGCCUGCUGAACAGUGUACAUAAUACUUGGAAUCCAGAGAUUAAUGGAUAAGUAAUUAACUAACCAUUACUAAACCAAAAUUAGCAUAUUGCCCAACUCUGUCAGAAUUUUGUUAUGCAUAUGUUGUAUGAUUAAGUAGUUAGAUAAUACUAUAAUCCAGUUCUUGUAAAUUUCUGUUGACAUUGCAAAUUGCAGCUUUGCGUUUAUUUUUGUAACUAUGACUUGGCUGAGAAAUUAUUGGUUUGGCUUCUGCAUAAUGAGUCCGAAGAAUUGGACAGGGUAUGGAUAAUGCACACGCAUCCAAGGCAUAUCGAAAUAAUCGGACAUGCAUUGAAGAACAUCAUAAUUAAAGGGCUGCCUUUCACAUAUGAGUUAUUCGAUUUAUCGGCAAGACGUUUGGGUCAGUUGGAUCGUUGGAUGUAUGGACCUGGGACGAUGUUGUGCUUUAGACACAUCUUUGAGUCUGAUUUUGCGAUGAUGGUUUUGGAAAACGAAGAUCCUUUGUGUUAUCGCUCAAUUUGUGACCAGUUCAUCGCUCAAGCAUCGUAAUAUGACAUAUCUGAAUGCCGGAUGCUUUCUGUGCCUGCUCUUGUAACGAAGACAUGGUGUGGAUAUUUUUGGGACAUGGAGCUUCAUUGCGUUCACAUCCUAGAUCCAACAUUACAUAGGACAAGAGCUGAAGAACUGCGUAUGUUGCAUGAUUACAAUGUUAAUAAGAUUCAGAAAGCGUUAUCAACUUGCAUAUCUGCUAUGUUCAAUGGGUGGAACAUAAAUUUUACUGACUGGCCGAAUAACUAUGUGAAGCCAAUUAUCGCAGGAGCUACCAACCGGGAAUCGGGCAUAUUGACUCUCUUGGGGAUUCGCGACUUCAAUGGGACGGAGUUUGUGAAGGACCAUGACGAGGAAUCCCGUUAACAAUUUCAAGGUUUUUCUGCUGUUUGAAGACCUCUCGAUCGUCGACAACAGUGCUAUGCUACCUUCAGGGUAUUUACAGAGUAUCGAUGAUUGAAAGAUCCUGAUGUAUGACCUGCUCGUUGUUGGCUACUGUAUGCCUAUAGUCUUUAGAACUUCUUCGCGUGUAUCUUAGUGGACAUGGCGUUCUACCUGGACAUGGCGAACUUCUUCGCGUGCAUUUUGCAACAUCUAAUAGUGCAUUUGAACAAAAAAAAUAUCGUUGUAGUACUUUUAUGUAACGAAUGACACUAUGUUUUGUAAUGUUUAUAUGAUGACUGUGUCUAGUUUGUUAUCCAUAUAAGUUAGCUGGUUA
Lolium perenne is the source of this 1729-nucleotide long non-coding RNA. RefSeq lists it as uncharacterized. The record is from RefSeq and is a predicted model, not a curated record. NCBI's taxonomy places the organism in Eukaryota, Viridiplantae, Streptophyta, Magnoliopsida, Poales, Poaceae.